RNAcentral lists this ribosomal RNA (397 nucleotides) under uncultured bacterium. Its description in RNAcentral is "partial 16S ribosomal RNA". It matches the Rfam family "Bacterial small subunit ribosomal RNA", at positions 523 to 918 of the family's 1533-position model. The record is from RNAcentral.
AUACGUAGGUGACAAGCGUUAUCCGGAUUUACUGGGCGUAAAGGGCGUGUAGGCGGUCUUGCAAGUCAGAAGUGAAAUUCCUGAACUCAAUUUGGGCGCUGCUUCGGAAACUGCAGGACUUGAGUGCUGGAGGGGAUAGCGGAAUUCCUAGUGGCGCGGUAAAAUGCGGAGAUAUUAGGAAAAACACCGGAGGGGAAGGCGACUUUUUGGACAUUAACUGUGGCUGAAGCGCGAAAGCAUGGGGAGCAAACUGGAUUUGUUACCCUGUUGAUGCACGACGUCAACUAUGAAUACUAGUUGUAGGGGGUGUCGACUCGCUCUGUUCCGUAGUUAACACAAUAAGUAUUCCGCCUUGGGAGUACAGCCGCUAGGUUGAAGCUCAAAGGAAUUUACGGUG